Molecule: RNA transcript, 1108 nt
Organism: Macadamia integrifolia
Lineage: Eukaryota; Viridiplantae; Streptophyta; Magnoliopsida; Proteales; Proteaceae
Exons: 6
Source: RefSeq, a predicted model, not a curated record
CGCCUUCUCUGCUCCUAGCCCUGUUCUCGCUCUCACUCUCUCACUCUCUCACUCUCUCACUCUCCUAAACCCUUGAAAGUGAACACAACAGAGGGCAACCAAAGCUAUUCGGUUUCUCAACAUCUGCAGUCUCCGGUCUGCACCUCGUACAGCCAAUCAGCCAUUAUUAUCUGUUGAGAGCUCGAUUGAUAAAACCUUCGUACUUACAAAAUAUCCAUAAAGCUUCAUGGCUUUCCUGGAAGGCGGAGAGAGUUUUUCAGAAUCCAUUUACAAUGAAUUAAGCUUAGAGGAUGUUGAUAUGGAUGAUGUAGAAGAAGGUGGAAGGGGAAGGAAAAGAGAGAAGAAAAAGAAGAAGAAGAAGGGGGGCAUCUCAACGUCUAGCAUUGCAGACAUAAACAGGUUUGUAAUUGACAUGUGUAGAUAUUUGAAAGAAAAGAAAUCAUACCUAGUUUGGAAUGCUGUUGGUUGCCUUGGAGUAGGUGCAUUAAGUGAUCUUGUCAAAGAGGUGGAGGCAAUACAGGCUUGUGGAGGUCAGAUGACAGCUGAUGGCAAGCGCUUACGUACAGGGGGUGGCAUAUUAUGGUGCAUCUUAAAAACACGUGAACCAAAGGCUUACAAAGAGAUAAUGAUGAAAGGGAAGGAAUUUGAGGUGAUCUCUCUCUCUCUCUCUCUCUCACUCUUAUCAAAGCAAUAAUAUAUUAUUGGACUUAAGGUUCCUUCCUUGUCUGACACUUCCUAUUAACCAAUCAGCUUUCCACUGGGGACAUGGUGACAUUUUAUAAAAGAUUCAGACAGACUGGACACAUGCAAAACUCCUGAUGCAUACCCUGUUUUGAACCUCUGUCCUAGCAUUCCAAGUUUGAUGUUUCAUGGUUACACUUACUGUUCCUCUGGGUUGUCUGGUUGUUGUUCCUGCUAAUUUAGUGCUUCAAAUCAUUGGGUUGAGUUUUAUGGUGAGGAGCAUAGAAGCAGUUUAGGCAGCAAAGAGUAACGCAAGUGUCAGAGCAAAACAAAGAGGACCCUGCUCAGAAAAUUGCCUGUGCAUCUUCUUAUGGUAUCAUUAACCAAGUCUCAAAAGAGUUUGCAGCAUUCACCACAAAUGGAGAUU